UUUUGAAUAAAUCGCUUGAAUAAAUAAUUCAAUGACUCACUCACUCAAGUGUGGAUAUCUGCAGGUAGGAGUAAUGAGCAUGCCGAAAGUAGGGGGCUUGCAAAAGGUCUUUACAAUUGGUAGGGCUAGGAGUUCAUUUCUGUUGUAGCAUUGUGUAGGCUAUCUUUCAGCACGCCAUUUUUCCGAUCAGCAGUUAUCCCUGUCUCGGUCGGACCCGUCACCCCCUAUCUGCAAAACGAUUUAAUGUACAGAAUUCAGAGUCACUGAAAAACCCCACCAAACAGACAAGCGAAGUAACACAAUCAGUAAAAGUCCUGUUACAAAUAUGAGAUAUCCACAAAACCUUUAAGUGAAAAUGCCACAUGACACAACAUAUUUUAAAAUAUUUGCAGCACAUAUUUCAAACAUUUGCAGCACCAGCAUAAUAAUAAGCCUACUUUUCAAAGUAGUGAUGGAUUUUGUACUUUAGUUCACCAUGUUUCCACUGAUAUUUAGGAGCAGAAAGACGUGACUUAUACGGAGAUUGCCACAUUCAGUAAAAAUCAAGGCAAAAAUAACAAGGUUCAUGGUGAUGAUAAAGUGACUUACGCUUCCAUCAGAGGAGCAACAGCUGGACUUCAGGAUAACUGCAGUCAACUUUAUGCCUCUGUGAACGAGAACCGUCACAAAUAACUGAAUCAGUUA
Long non-coding RNA from Rhinichthys klamathensis goyatoka, 684 nucleotides. RefSeq lists it as uncharacterized. The transcript has 2 exons. The record is from RefSeq and is a predicted model, not a curated record. Lineage: Eukaryota; Metazoa; Chordata; Actinopteri; Cypriniformes; Leuciscidae.